RNAcentral lists this ribosomal RNA (255 nucleotides) under uncultured bacterium. RNAcentral's name for it is "partial 16S ribosomal RNA". It matches the Rfam family "Archaeal small subunit ribosomal RNA", at positions 474 to 728 of the family's 1478-position model. The record is from RNAcentral.
UACCAGCACCCCGAGUGGUCGGGACGUUUUAUUGGGCCUAAAGCAUCCGUAGCCGGUUCUACAAGUCUUCCGUUAAAUCCAACUGCUUAACAGGUGGGCUGCGGAAGAUACUAUAGAGCUAGGAGGCGGGAGAGGCAAGCGGUACUCGAUGGGUAGGGGUAAAAUCCGUUGAUCCAUUGAAGACCACCAGUGGCGAAGGCGGCUUGCCAGAACGCGCUCGACGGUGAGGGAUGAAAGCUGGGGGAGCAAACCGGG